UUCCUACGGGGCGCAGCAGUAGGGAAUCUUCCACAAUGGACGAAAGUCUGAUGGAGCAACGCCGCGUGAGUGAAGAAGGGUUUCGGCUCGUAAAGCUCUGUUGGUAGUGAAGAAAGAUAGAGGUAGUAACUGGCCUUUAUUUGACGGUAAUUACUUAGAAAGUCACGGCUAACUACGUGCCAGCAGCCGCGGUAAUACGUAGGUGGCAAGCGUUAUCCGGAUUUAUUGGGCGUAAAGCGAGCGCAGGCGGGUGCUUA
RNAcentral lists this ribosomal RNA (257 nucleotides) under uncultured bacterium. RNAcentral describes it as "partial 16S ribosomal RNA". It matches the Rfam family "Bacterial small subunit ribosomal RNA", at positions 336 to 585 of the family's 1533-position model. The record is from RNAcentral.